Molecule: ribosomal RNA, 208 nt
Filed under: uncultured bacterium
Lineage: Bacteria
Description: partial 16S ribosomal RNA
Rfam family: Bacterial small subunit ribosomal RNA
Source: RNAcentral
UGCGUAGGCGGCUUUGCAAGUCAGAUGUGAAAUCUAUGGGCUCAACCCAUAAACUGCAUUUGAAACUGUAGAGCUUGAGUGAAGUAGAGGCAGGCGGAAUUCCCCGUGUAGCGGUGAAAUGCGUAGAGAUGGGGAGGAACACCAGUGGCGAAGGCGGCCUGCUGGGCUUUAACUGACGCUGAGGCACGAAAGGCGUGGUAAGCAAACA